GAUGAACGCUGGCGGCGUGCCUAAUACAUGCAAGUCGAGCGAACAGACGAGGAGCUUGCUCCUCUGACGUUAGCGGCGGACGGGUGAGUAACACGUGGGUAACCUACCUAAGACUGGGAUAACUCCGGGAAACCGGCUAAUACCGGAUAACACAUGAAACCGCAUGGUUUCAUGAUGAAAGACGGUUUUGCUGUCACUUAUAGAUGGACCCGCGGCGUAUUAGCUAGUUGGUAAGGUAACGGCUUACCAAGGCAACGAUACGUAGCCGACCUGAGGGUGAUCGGCCACACUGGAACUGAGACGGUCCAGACUCCUACGGGAGGCAGCAGUAGGGAAUCUUGCAAUGGGCGAAAGCCUGACGGAGCAACGCCGCGUGAGUGAUGAAGGUCUUCGGAUCGUAAAACUCUGUUAUUAGGGAAGAACAAGGAUGUAAGUAACUAUGCAUCCCUUGACGGUACCUAAUCAGAAAGCCACGGCUACGUGCCAGCAGCCGCGGUAAUACGUAGGUGGCAAGCGUUAUCCGGAAUUAUUGGGCGUAAAGCGCGCGUAGGCGGUUUUUUAAGUCUGAUGUGAGCCCACGGCUCAACCGUGGAGGGUCAUUGGAAACUGGAACUUGAGUGCAGAAGAGGAAAGUGGAAUUCCAUGUGUAGCGGUGAAAUGCGCAGAGAUAUGGAGGAACACCAGUGGCGAAGGCGACUUUCUGGUCUGCAACUGACGCUGAUGUGCGAAAGCGUGGGGAUCAAACAGGGAUACCCUGGUAGUCCACGCCGUAAACGAUGAGUGCUAAGUGUUAGGGGGUUUCCGCCCCUUAGUGCUCAGCUAACGCAUUAAGCACUCCGCCUGGGGAGUACGGCCGCAAGGCUGAAACUCAAAGGAAUUGACGGGACCCGCACAAGCGGUGGAGCAUGUGGUUUAAUUCGAAGCAACGCGAAGAACCUUACCAAAUCUUGACAUCUUUGACAACUCUAGAGAUAGAGCUUUCCCCUUCGGGGGACAAAGUGACAGGUGGUGCAUGGUUGUCGUCAGCUCGUGUCGUGAGAUGUUGGGUUAAGUCCCGCAACGAGCGCAACCCUUAAGCUUAGUUGCCAGCAUAAGUUGGGCACUCUAAGUUGACUGCCGGUGACAAACCGGAGGAAGGUGGGGAUGACGUCAAAUCAUCAUCCCCUUAUGAUUUGGGCUACACACGUGCUACAAUGGACGGUACAAAGGGCAGCGAACCCGCGAGGUCAAAAAUCCC
RNAcentral lists this ribosomal RNA (1237 nucleotides) under Staphylococcus simulans. RNAcentral describes it as "bacterial SSU rRNA". It matches the Rfam family "Bacterial small subunit ribosomal RNA", at positions 28 to 1275 of the family's 1533-position model. Lineage: Bacteria; Bacillati; Bacillota; Bacilli; Caryophanales; Staphylococcaceae. The record is from RNAcentral.